GACGAACGCUGGCGGCGUGCUUAACACAUGCAAGUCGUACGGUAAGGCCCUUUCGGGGGUACACGAGUGGCGAACGGGUGAGUAACACGUGAGUAACCUGCCCACAACUUUGGGAUAACGCUAGGAAACUGGUGCUAAUACUGGAUAUGUGCUCCUGCUGCAUGGUGGGGGUUGGAAAGCUCCUGCGGUUGUGGAUGGACUCGCGGCCUAUAAGCUUGUUGGUGGGGUAGGGGCCUACCAAGGCGGCGACGGGUAGCCGGCCUGAGAGGGUGACCGGCCACAUUGGGACUGAGAUACGGCCCAGACUCCUACGGGAGGCAGCAGUGGGGAAUAUUGCACAAUGGGCGCAAGCCUGAUGCAGCAACGCCGCGUGCGGGAUGACGGCCUUCGGGUUGUAAACCGCUUUCAGCAGGGACGAAGCUUUUUGUGACGGUACCUGCAGAAGAAGCACCGGCUAACUACGUG
RNAcentral lists this ribosomal RNA (465 nucleotides) under uncultured bacterium. Its description in RNAcentral is "partial 16S ribosomal RNA". It matches the Rfam family "Bacterial small subunit ribosomal RNA", at positions 28 to 507 of the family's 1533-position model. The record is from RNAcentral.